GAAGGGGGCUAGCGUUGUCCGGAUUUAUUGGGCGUAAAGAGCGUGUAGGCGGCCAGAUAGGUCCGUUGUGAAAACUCGAGGCUCAACCUCGAGACGCCGAUGGAAACCAUUUGGCUAGAGUCCGGAAGAGGAGAGUGGAAUUCCCGGUGUAGUGGUGAAAUGCGUAGAUAUCGGGAGGAACACCAGUGGCGAAGGCGACUUCCUGGCCUGUUCUUGACGCUGAGGCGCGAAAGCUAGGGGAGCAAACGGGAUUAGAUACCCCGGUAGUCCUAGCCGUAAACGAUGGACACUAGGUGUUGGUGGUAUCAACCCCGCCAGUGCCGAAGCUAACGCAUUAAGUGUCCCGCCUGGGGAGUACGGCCGCAAGGCUA
RNAcentral lists this ribosomal RNA (371 nucleotides) under uncultured bacterium. RNAcentral describes it as "bacterial SSU rRNA". It matches the Rfam family "Bacterial small subunit ribosomal RNA", at positions 527 to 896 of the family's 1533-position model. The record is from RNAcentral.